Unclassified non-coding RNA from Macaca fascicularis (crab-eating macaque), 147 nucleotides. It matches the Rfam family "Metazoan signal recognition particle RNA". Rfam says of the family: The signal recognition particle (SRP) is a universally conserved ribonucleoprotein. It is involved in the co-translational targeting of proteins to membranes. The record is from Ensembl. Lineage: Eukaryota; Metazoa; Chordata; Mammalia; Primates; Cercopithecidae.
GCCAGGCGUGGUUGUGCGUGCCUGUAAUCCUUGCUACUCGGAGGCUGAGGCACGAGAAUUGCUUGAACCUAGGAGGCGGAGGUUGCAGUGAGCCGAGAUCCUGCCACUGUUCUCCAGCCUGGGUGACAGAGCAAGACCCUGUCUCAA